RNAcentral lists this ribosomal RNA (232 nucleotides) under uncultured bacterium. RNAcentral's name for it is "partial 16S ribosomal RNA". It matches the Rfam family "Bacterial small subunit ribosomal RNA", at positions 15 to 236 of the family's 1533-position model. The record is from RNAcentral.
GAUCAUGGCUCAGGAUGAACGCUAGCUACAGGCUUAACACAUGCAAGUCGGAGGGGCAGCAUGUUGGUUGCUUGCAACCAACGAUGGCGACCGGCGCACGGGUGAGUAACGCGUAUCCAACCUUCCGGCAUACUCGGGAAUAGCCUUUCGAAAGAAAGAUUAAUGCCCGAUGGUUUCCCGAAUCCGCAUGAGAGCGGGAAUAAAGAUUCAUCGGUAUGCGAUGGGGAUGCGU